GCAGUCGAGCGAAGCGUAUUAGCGGAAGUUUUCGGAUGGAAGCGGAUACGACUUAGCGGCGGACGGGUGAGUAACGCGUGGAUAACCUGCCUCAUACAGGGGGAUAACAGUUAGAAAUGACUGCUAAUACCGCAUAAGCGCACAGGACCGCAUGGUCCGGUGUGAAAAACUCCGGUGGUAUGGGAUGGAUCUGCGUCUGAUUAGCUGGUUGGUGAGGUAACGGCCCACCAAGGCGACGAUCAGUAGCCGACCUGAGAGGGUGGCCGGCCACAUUGGGACUGAGACACGGCCCAAACUCCUACGGGAGGCAGCAGUGGGGAAUAUUGCACAAUGGGGGAAACCCUGAUGCAGCAACGCCGCGUGAGUGAAGAAGUAUUUCGGUAUGUAAAGCUCUAUCAGCAGGGAAGAAGAAAGACGGUACCUGACUAAGAAGCCCCGGCUAACUACGUGCCAGCAGCCGCGGUAAUACGUAGGGGGCAAGCGUUAUCCGGAUUUACUGGGUGUAAAGGGAGCGUAGACGGCUGUGCAAGUCUGAAGUGAAAGCCCGUGGCUCAACCGCGGAACUGCUUUGGAAACUGUAUAGCUUGAGUACUGGAGAGGCAGGCGGAAUUCCUAGUGUAGCGGUGAAAUGCGUAGAUAUUAGGAGGAACACCAGUGGCGAAGGCGGCCUGCUGGACAGAAACUGACGUUGAGGCUCGAAAGCGUGGGGAGCAAACAGGAUUAGAUACCCUGGUAGUCCACGCGGUAAACGAUGAAUGCUAGGUGUUGGGGAGCAAAGCUCUU
RNAcentral lists this ribosomal RNA (783 nucleotides) under uncultured bacterium. RNAcentral's name for it is "bacterial SSU rRNA". It matches the Rfam family "Bacterial small subunit ribosomal RNA", at positions 57 to 840 of the family's 1533-position model. The record is from RNAcentral.